Molecule: ribosomal RNA, 253 nt
Filed under: uncultured bacterium
Lineage: Bacteria
Description: partial 16S ribosomal RNA
Rfam family: Bacterial small subunit ribosomal RNA
Source: RNAcentral
UACGAAGGACCCGAGCGUUAUCCGGAUUUAUUGGGUUUAAAGGGUGCGUAGGCGGAACGGUAAGUCAGUGGUGAAAGCCUGUUGCUUAACAACAGAACUGCCAUCGAUACUGCCGAUCUUGAGUACAUAUGAUGUGGGCGGAAUGUGCCAUGUAGCGGUGAAAUGCUUAGAUAUGGCACAGAACACCGAUUGCGAAGGCAGCUCACAAAACUGUUACUGACGCUGAGGCACGAAAGCGUGGGGAUCAAACAGG